Chenopodium quinoa (quinoa) is the source of this 1694-nucleotide RNA transcript. RefSeq lists it as uncharacterized. Lineage: Eukaryota; Viridiplantae; Streptophyta; Magnoliopsida; Caryophyllales; Amaranthaceae. The record is from RefSeq and is a predicted model, not a curated record. The transcript is spliced from 7 exons.
UGUCGUCGUUGAUUUUCUUUUCAAUUUAGUAAUUUUAGGGUUGUGGUAAUCUAGGGUUUGUCAUUGAAGCGCGCACGGAUCCACCUCCACCACAACCACCUCCACCAUUAUUCAGCUUUGCAAAACCAGUCAUAAACUCAGCCCAUUCCUUCCUUCCUCUCUCCUUCUAACACUAUGAAUUCAUGAAAAUUAACUUCCAGUAGAUUCAAGCAUAAAUGAAGUUCUUAUUUUCGUAUUUGAUUGGGAGAAUAAAAGGUAUUGAGCAUUUGGGUGAGAUUGAAACUCCAGAAAAAUGGCGGAAUGUGGGACUGUGCCAUCGAAUUUUAAGCUGCAAUUGCAAACAAAUGGGUCUUGGUUCAAACCCCAGAAUUCAUACCCGUAUCAUAAGAGAGCAAAAACUUAGGGAGGUUGGUAAACUGGAACAAGAUCUUGUCUUUGGUGAUGCUGGAACUAAAGAAGUUAUCAAAAUUUUAAGCAUGCAUACGGAUUUAAGCUGUGAGAAUAAGUUGCGAUUAUUGAUGGUUUAUGCAGCUAUUUACCCCGAGAAAUUUGAGGGUGACAAAGGUUCACAGUUGAUGCAGGCAUUUGAUUGGCUUCUUUCUUUUCCUAUCCCUGACCAUAUACACUGCAACUACAGUCUCAGAUGUUUCGGAUUACUACCCUCUGCAACACUUAAUUUGUUGAGAUGCUCAAUAAAGCUGGUUUGCAUGAUGUUCACUCAACGCUUGUAUAUUGCCUCACAUCCUUUUCUAAGAUGCCAGAUUUCGGUACACUAAGUGGUGAAUUGAUGGCAUCCCUUCCGUAUAUCAAUUCACUGUCAUCUGUUUCUGGGUGGCAUAUUAUGGAACAUUUGUCAAACUGCUUGCCUGAGCGUUUCUCUCAUUUAAAUGAGACUAAUGAUCCUUCCUUGAAUCAUGAUUGUGAAAAAAAAAUUGUCAGACUGGAAAAAGGAGGUGCAAUUUAUAAGUCGGAAAGUGGAGGUGAUGCUAAUACAGAGAAGAAACUAAACUAAGUUAAUCAGGCUGAAAAUAGAAAGAAAUUAUCUGAGCAAGAGAGGUCGCGUAAAGUAGAAUUGAAGGAUGAAACCGCAAAACAGAAACAGUUGGCAUAAGAGAGGAAGAAGUUAGAGAAACAUAAGUUCAGUGAGAAAGACAUUGUGGCUGUGAUUGAUCCAAAGGUUCUGUCAGGUUCAGUUGGAGGACCACUGCUAACCAUGUUUAGCCAGAAAGAUCUCAGGUCUGAAAUUUUUGCAAAUCCCUUUGAAAAAUCAAUUGUUUUGAGAAUAGAGACUCCCAAAGACAUUUCUCAGGUAAAUGGAACUAUAACUUGUUGAUAGUUUAUGUUGAUGAAAGUUAAUUCAUAGAUGCAAGUUGACUGACUCUUUUCCCUUAUGAACCUAUUCCUUAUACUUCUUAUGUUUUAAGGUCCUAUCUUUUCAUUUUUUUCAUCGAGUAAAUCUGGUUUAUCUUUGAUGCACUAUCCCACUAGUCUUCUUUAAUUUCUUGCGUGAUUGUUUUUGUAGAGUGAUUUAGGGCUCUGAAUGUGAGUAAUGUUAAGAACCGUCUUUGGGAGAUUCUUAUUUCUGCUGUUUUCUGGAUAAUUUACUUGAAAAGGGAUGAUGGGUACUUCUUAGAUGUAUGAAUAUGUAAUAGACUAGGAUUUUUAGAUUAUAAGUUCUAUUGAACUAGAAAUUU